CCUACGGGAGGCAGCAGUGGGGAAUUUUGGACAAUGGGCGCAAGCCUGAUCCAGCAAUGCCGCGUGAGUGAAGAAGGCCUUCGGGUUGUAAAGCUCUUUUGUCAGGGAAGAAAAGGUGCGCUCUAACAUAGCGUACUGAUGACGGUACCUGAAGAAUAAGCACCGGCUAACUACGUGCCAGCAGCCGCGGUAAUACGUAGGGUGCAAGCGUUAAUCGGAAUUACUGGGCGUAAAGCGUGCGCAGGCGGUUUUAUAAGUCUGAUGUGAAAUCCCCGGGCUCAACCUGGGAACUGCAUUGGAGACUGUAAGGCUAGAGUGUGUCAGAGGGGGGUAGAAUUCCACGUGUAGCAGUGAAAUGCGUAGAUAUGUGGAGGAAUACCGAUGGCGAAGGCAGCCCCCUGGGAUAACACUGACGCUCAUGCACGAAAGCGUGGGGAGCAAACAGGAUUAGAUACCCUGGUAGUCCACGCCCUAAACGAUGUCUACUAGUUGUCGGGACUUAAUGUNUGUACGCGAGCGACGCGUGAGUAGACCGCCGUGGGGUAGGUACGGGUUCGGCGAAGAAGUUAAAACUUAAACUUAAGUUAGUUAGUAGGACGGNGNGAGAGCGACGACGACGACGACGGAGGAGGAGG
This 635-nucleotide ribosomal RNA is filed under the name uncultured bacterium. RNAcentral's name for it is "bacterial SSU rRNA". The stretch from base 1 to 537 matches the Rfam family "Bacterial small subunit ribosomal RNA", at positions 338 to 873 of the family's 1533-position model. The record is from RNAcentral.